GACGAACGCUGGCGGCGUGCCUAAUACAUGCAAGUUGAGCGCUGAAGGUUGGUACUUGUACCGACUGGAUGAGCAGCGCACGGGUGAGUAACGCGUGGGGAAUCUGCCUUUGAGCGGGGGACAACAUUUGGAAACGAAUGCUAAUACCGCAUAAAAACUUUAAACACAAGUUUUAAGUUUGAAAGAUGCAAUUGCAUCACUCAAAGAUGAUCCCGCGUUGUAUUAGCUAGUUGGUGAGGUAAAGGCUCACCAAGGCGAUGAUACAUAGCCGACCUGAGAGGGUGAUCGGCCACAUUGGGACGGAGACACGGCCCAAACGCAUACGGGAGGCAGCAGUAGGGAAUCGUCGGGAAUGGACGAAAGUCUGACCGAGCAACGCCGCGUGAGUGAAGAAGGUUUUCGGGUCGUAAAACUCGGUUGGUAGAGAAGAACGUGGGUGAGAGUGGAAAGCUCAUCAAGUGACGGUAACUACCCAGAAAGGGACGGCUAACUACGUG
Molecule: ribosomal RNA, 497 nt
Filed under: uncultured bacterium
Lineage: Bacteria
Description: partial 16S ribosomal RNA
Rfam family: Bacterial small subunit ribosomal RNA
Source: RNAcentral